Molecule: ribosomal RNA, 492 nt
Filed under: uncultured bacterium
Lineage: Bacteria
Description: bacterial SSU rRNA
Rfam family: Bacterial small subunit ribosomal RNA
Source: RNAcentral
GACGGGGGCCCGCACAAGCGGUGGAUUAUGUGGUUUAAUUCGAAGCAACGCGCAGAACCUUACUUAGGCUUGAAAUCCUGAGAAUCUUUUUUAAACGAAAGAGUGCCCUUCGGGGAAUUCAGUGACAGGCGCUGCAUGGCUGUCGUCAGCUCGUGUCGUGAGAUGUUGGGUUAAGUCUCGCAACGAGCGCAACCCCUAUCCUUAGUUGCCAGCAUUAAGUUGGGCACUCUAGGGAGACUGCCUGGGCUAACCAGGAGGAAGGUGGGGACGACGUCAAGUCCUCAUGGCCCUUAUGCCUAGGGCUACACACGUAAUACAAUGGUUGAUACAGAGGGAAGCGAACUCGCGAGGGGGAGCAAAUCUCAAAAAGUCAAUCUCAGUCCGGAUUGGAGUCUGCAACUCGACUCCAUGAAGUUGGAAUCGCUAGUAAUCGUGGAUCAGCACGCCACGGUGAAUACGUUCCCGGGCCUUGUACACACCGCCCGUCAAGCC